GCUUACGGCCAUACCACCUUAGGCACGCCCGAUCUCGUCUGAUCUCGGAAGCUAAGCAGGGUCGGGCCUGGUUAGUACUUGGAUGGGUGACCGCCUGGGAAUACCAUGGUGCUGUAAGCA
Molecule: ribosomal RNA, 120 nt
Organism: Gadus morhua (Atlantic cod)
Lineage: Eukaryota; Metazoa; Chordata; Actinopteri; Gadiformes; Gadidae
Source: Ensembl